RNAcentral lists this ribosomal RNA (403 nucleotides) under uncultured bacterium. RNAcentral describes it as "bacterial SSU rRNA". It matches the Rfam family "Bacterial small subunit ribosomal RNA", at positions 355 to 774 of the family's 1533-position model. The record is from RNAcentral.
UAGGGAAUAUUGCAAAAUGGGCGAAAGCCCGAUGCAGCAACGCCGCGUGGGCGAUGAAGGCCUUCGGGUCGUAAAGCCCUUUUUGAGGGGAUGAGGAAGGACAGUACCCUCAGAAUAAGCCUCGGCUAACUACGUGCCAGCAGCCGCGGUAAAACGUAGGAGGCGAGCGUUAUCCGGAUUUACUGGGCGUAAAGCGCGUGCAGGCGGAUUGGAGAGUUGGAUGUGAAAGCUCCCGACUUAACUGGGAGAGGUCGUUCAAUACUUCCAGUCUUGAGUGCAGUAGAGGGAAGUGGAAUUCCGGGUGUAGUGGUGAAAUGCGUAGAUAUCCGGAGGAACACCAGUGGCGAAAGCGGCUUCCUGGACUGUAACUGACGCUCAGACGCGAAAGCUAGGGUAGCAAACG